Cyprinus carpio carpio is the source of this 1524-nucleotide long non-coding RNA. The record is from Ensembl. NCBI's taxonomy places the organism in Eukaryota, Metazoa, Chordata, Actinopteri, Cypriniformes, Cyprinidae.
AAAAAAAAUAAAGAAAUGAUACUCUAAAUAUGAAACUAAAUGUGCCAGGAGGUGACGGCAAAUUGCUGUCUUGAUUGAGCCAUUCAGUUAUUCAUUCAGCCGAUUCAUUCAAAUGGCUGAUUCAUUCAGAAACGAAGCAAGUGACUGUUUGCUAUAAAUGGCACAUUGAAUCAUUGACUCAAUCCAUUUAUUUAAACACAUGGAUUCGUUCAGUAUUACCUUUAUAGGUAAUAUUUUCUUUGGCAAAACUGCACAAAAACAAUACUGACAGUGUCUAAAAUGUAACACAAUAUUAUCAUAAUGGUUAUCGAACAGCUGUUAUAUUUUGCUUAUUUAGGAAAAAUAAGCUCUCUUUUUUGUGAUAUUGCUAAACUACAUCAUAUGAUAUAAUUAUAAGAUAAACCCAUCCAGGGGCAUUUUUGCCAUUAUAUCUUGAUUUUUAGGUUCAUUUAACUGCAUUCUAAUAGGCUUCAUUAUGCAGUUAGUCAUCCUGCAUAACAUUUGUCAACAACUGCAUCAAUGUAAGAUGAUAAAUUCGUGGGGAAGUCAUGGCCUAAUGGUUAGAGAGUUUGACUCCUAACCCUAAGGCUGUGGGUUCGUGGGCAAUACCACGACUGAGGUGCCCUUCAGCAAGGCACUGAACCCCCAACUGCUCCCCGGGCGCCGCAGCAUAAAUGGCUGCCCACUGCUCCGGGUGUGUGUUCACGGUGUGUGUGUGCACUUUGGAUGGGUUAAUGCAGAGCACGAAUUCUGAGUAUGGGUCACCAUACUUAGCUGUAUGUCACGUCACUUUCUUUCACUUUCAAUCGGAGUUACUAGAAAGACGACAACACUUCAGACUCCAUUUAUCCACCCUUUUUUCCCGUAAGAGUGGGCACAACCAUUUAUACAUUUUCUGGCUCCGGGUCUUAUCCUCGUCCAGCUAAUUUUAGCUGUACAAAACAGUUUGUUUUGCUGAUUAAUAUUGCAAAUCUUACCUUAUUAUUUUAAUGUAUAACAGUAUCCUAAUUUUGAACUCACUGGUUUGUAGUGCAAACAGUUUUACAGUUUACUGCAUGUUGUUAUUCUUUUUGUUAUAUUUCCCUACAGCGGCUAAUGAACUGGAAGCCUCGCCCAUAGGCUUUCUUCCACAUUGAAGAAUAAGGUGGAUAAAAACUCCUUAGAGCUUUCUUCAGCAGAAGGAUGUGAUUGUGGCGUUACCAGGGCAACACCAUCCUGAAGCCGUCAGGAACUUAUCCGUUUCCACAGUAACAGCAUAUAGAGGUGAGAGGAGAUCAUUAUUUCAGAAAUAUUACAUCUGAGUGCCUCUGAUAGAAACAUAAUUAUGUUUUAUAUCCUCACUGUGUGCCAUUUAUGCAUUUCAGACUAUAAUAUUACAGAAGAUAAAUCACAUCCUUGCUACAAUAUCUAAAUAAUCAGCUGGUGAAGGAUGUUUUCUACACAGCGGCCCAAAGAAUUACAAUUACUUUUCAUCCAUGGCGGUGAUUUCCUAUAUCGUAAAAAAAAAAAAAAAAGGUGAUUGAA